RNAcentral lists this ribosomal RNA (477 nucleotides) under uncultured organism. Its description in RNAcentral is "partial 16S ribosomal RNA". It matches the Rfam family "Bacterial small subunit ribosomal RNA", at positions 333 to 801 of the family's 1533-position model. The record is from RNAcentral.
ACACUCCUGCGGGAGGCAGCAGUGGGGAAUUUUGGACAAUGGGCGAAAGCCUGAUCCAGCAAUGCCGCGUGAGUGAAGAAGGCCUUCGGGUUGUAAAGCUCUUUUGUCAGGGAAGAAACGGUGAAAGCUAAUAUCUUUUGCUAAUGACGGUACCUGAAGAAUAAGCACCGGCUAACUACGUGCCAGCAGCCGCGGUAAUACGUAGGGUGCAAGCGUUAAUCGGAAUUACUGGGCGUAAAGCGUGCGCAGGCGGUUUUGUAAGUCUGAUGUGAAAUCCCCGGGCUCAACCUGGGAAUUGCAUUGGAGACUGCAAGGCUAGAAUCUGGCAGAGGGGGGUAGAAUUCCACGUAUAGCAGUGAAAUGCGUAGAUAUGUGGAGGAACACCGAUGGCGAAGGCAGCCCCCUGGGUCAAGAUUGACGCUCAUGCACGAAAGCGUGGGGAGCAAACAGGAUUAGAAACCCCAGUAGUCCCAUGAU